RNAcentral lists this ribosomal RNA (206 nucleotides) under uncultured bacterium. RNAcentral describes it as "partial 16S ribosomal RNA". It matches the Rfam family "Bacterial small subunit ribosomal RNA", at positions 524 to 728 of the family's 1533-position model. The record is from RNAcentral.
GACAGAGGGUGCAAACGUUGUUCGGAAUUACUGGGCGUAAAGCGCGUGUAGGCGGCUAUGUAAGUCGGGCGUGAAAUCCCACGGCUCAACCGUGGAAGUGCACCCGAAACUGCGUAGCUAGAGUCCUGGAGAGGAAGGUGGAAUGCUUGGUGUAGAGGUGAAAUUCGUAGAUAUCAAGCGGAACACCGGUGGCGAAGGCGGGUCCU